GAUGAACGCUGGCGGCGUGCUUAACACAUGCAAGUCGAACGAUUAAGCCCAGCUUGCUGGGUGGAUUAGUGGCGAACGGGUGAGUAACACGUGAGUAACCUGCUCUUAACUCUGGGAUAAGCCUGGGAAACUGGGUCUAUUACCCGAUCGGAGCGUCCACCGCAUGGUGGGUGUUGGAAAGCUUUAUCGGUUUUGGAUGGACUCGCGGCCUAUCAGCUUGUUGGUUAGGUAAUGGCUCACCAAGGCGACGGCGGGUAGCCGGCAUGAGAGGGUUACCAGCGACAAGGGGACUGAGAGACGGCCCAGACUCGGACGAGAGGCAGAAGAGGGGAAUAUUGCACAGAGGGCGCAAGCCUGAUGAAGAGACGCGGCGUGAGGGAAGAAGGCCUUCGGGGUGGAAACCGCUGUCAGUAGGGAAGAAGCGAAAGUGACGGUACCUGCAGAAGAAGCACCGGCUAACUACGUG
Molecule: ribosomal RNA, 466 nt
Filed under: uncultured bacterium
Lineage: Bacteria
Description: partial 16S ribosomal RNA
Rfam family: Bacterial small subunit ribosomal RNA
Source: RNAcentral